AAGGUUAUAAAUAUGAAAAAAGAAAUGUUUAAAAAUAUAGAUAAAAUAUUUCAUGCCUUUGGAAAGCUGCCCAAAGGAUGUUAUGCUUUGAAUCAUCCUGUCCUUUGAAUCAACUGUGCUGUCACCAGACAAAGAAAGAAUGGGGUUCUCAGGUCGUGUGAUCCAUGCUCUUACAUCAGGAAAACCUUGGAUAAGAAGAUCAUCCAAGAUUUCUGAGUGAUCUUAAUGCAAAUCGUGAGUUCUCUGAAUGUGGAAGGAGGAGACAGAGUGAGUGUCAAAGUCAGGGAAUGCUCUGAAGAUGCCCCCCUGCUGGCUGUGAAGAUGAGAAGAGGCCGGAGCCCAGGAAUGGAGCCAGUCUCUAGAGGAGGGAGAGGCCAGCCCCAGAUCAUUCCCUGGAACCUGCACAAAUGCUCCUUAGAAUCUACCAAAGAGUGACCCAGAGGACACCUUAAUUUUAGACAAGGGUUUGGUGCACUUUCUCAGAAGACUGUUUUAGCACAAGAUCCCACCAACUUCC
Long non-coding RNA from Chinchilla lanigera (long-tailed chinchilla), 517 nucleotides. RefSeq lists it as uncharacterized. The transcript is spliced from 4 exons. NCBI's taxonomy places the organism in Eukaryota, Metazoa, Chordata, Mammalia, Rodentia, Chinchillidae. The record is from RefSeq and is a predicted model, not a curated record.